GCGAAGUUGUCGAAGAUGCGACGGUGCUACGCUGUUAGAACAUUCAUCGGAGCAUUCAAGUGUUACCUAUUAUAAGCUGCCAAAAGACCAAGCAGUGCGAAGCUCUUGGCUGGCAGUGGUGCCUGCUAAUUUCCACUGCAAGGAUUUCGUCCACGAAUGUUAUCAUAGGUUACGCGCGACUCCAGAGGCAAUUUGGAAUCUCGGCACGAAAUCGUCUGAUGAAAACCUGAGGUGGCCGACGCACAACAUUUUGAACGUGCCACGGAGGAUCAAGGCAAACAACGAGAGCAAAAAAGGUGCACUCUGAAGGCGGAAAUGAAGCACGAUCUGGCUUGCAUCUGGUGCAUGAAGAAAUUGCUGACACAUUAGUUGCAGUCUACCAACACCAACAGGGUGGAAAACAAAGGUCGCCAUUCCGAUUAGCUGCUAUCUCCCAGUUCAAGCACUUUUGCUGUCUGGACACUGGUUCCUGUGGAUGGGGUGUUACAAGCUUCACUGUCUGAUAUAGAAGUGAUGAGCAUCCAUAAGGACACAUGCCAGAAAGGGAGUCUCUUUG
Long non-coding RNA from Ornithodoros turicata, 556 nucleotides. RefSeq lists it as uncharacterized. Lineage: Eukaryota; Metazoa; Arthropoda; Arachnida; Ixodida; Argasidae. The transcript is spliced from 4 exons. The record is from RefSeq and is a predicted model, not a curated record.